AGUGAACGCUGGCGGUAGGCCUAAUACAUGCAAGUCGAACGGCAGCACAGUAAGAGCUUGCUCCUACGGGUGGCGAGUGGCGGACGGGUGAGGAAUACAUCGGAAUCUACUUUUUCGUGGGGGAUAACGUAGGGAAACUUACGCUAAUACCGCAUACGACCUACGGGUGAAAUCAGGGGAUCUUCGGACCUUGCGCGACUGAAUGAGCCGAUGCCGGAUUAGCUAGUUGGCGUGGUAAAGGCCCACCAAGGCAACGAUCCGUAGCUGGUCUGAGAGGAUGAUCGGCCACACUGGAACUGAGACACGGUCCAGACUCCUACGGGAGGCAGCAGUAGGGAAUAUUGGGCAAUGGGCGCAAGCCUGAUCCAGCAAUACCGCGUGAGUGAAGAAGGCCUUCGGGUUGUAAAGCCCUUUUGUUAGGAAAGAACAGCAGCAGGUUAAUACCCGGCUGUUCUGACGGUACCCAAAGAGUAAGCACCGGCUAACUUCGUG
Molecule: ribosomal RNA, 492 nt
Filed under: uncultured bacterium
Lineage: Bacteria
Description: partial 16S ribosomal RNA
Rfam family: Bacterial small subunit ribosomal RNA
Source: RNAcentral